Molecule: non-coding RNA, 497 nt
Organism: Malus domestica (apple)
Lineage: Eukaryota; Viridiplantae; Streptophyta; Magnoliopsida; Rosales; Rosaceae
Source: RefSeq, a predicted model, not a curated record
UCGAUGAGAAAAACAAGGACGAUGAUGGAUUUCUUCGCGUGACCUACAGUGCAGAUUGGAAAUAGGAAGGAGUAGUCUUUCGAUCCGGUGAUAUACCAAGGAUUAAAGAGUUAGACGGUAGGAAUGCUUUAAAACGCUCAUUUGAUGAGCUUGGAAUUUUCAAUGAUUUUACAAAGGGUACUUUGGAGGUGCUGGAACGGCGUAUUUCAGAUGCUAAGAAAAUGAGGCAGUGGUAUCCGUCUCAUGUACCGGUGAUUGUGGAGAAGGAUGGAAGCAGUGGCCUUCCUGAACUUGAUGCAAAGAAAUACCAAGUCCACGUGAUGUCACUCUUGAGGAGUUUGUUGGGUAUCUUCAGACAAAGGUUGCAUCUAAAGAUCCUUUGUUUGUCUAUUUCAAGAACACUGAACAUCCCAAUGGAACCUUGAUGUCUGCGAUUGAUGAGAAAAACAAGGAUGAAGACGGAUUUCUUCGCAUGACCUACUGUGGAACAAGAGAGA